Molecule: long non-coding RNA, 1966 nt
Organism: Oncorhynchus mykiss (rainbow trout)
Lineage: Eukaryota; Metazoa; Chordata; Actinopteri; Salmoniformes; Salmonidae
Source: RefSeq, a predicted model, not a curated record
CUGCUUCCUUCAGAGGUCAUUACAGAAUAUCGUGAAAGGGUGGGAUUUCUUAAAGAAAAUCGCUUCCAAACAUUCUCUCCAAUAAGAUGAUUUAUCCCAUACUCUUGUAGAGUAGCCACAUCUUCUGUAUAGACUGUCUGAAGGAAUUAUGGAGACAAAAAGGUUCCUCGGGAAUGUCCCGUUUGCAGUAGAAGAUCCUCAAAGGCGGAACUCACAACUCCAUUGAAGCCCUGUACCAUCAUUCUAAGGUGCUGUGAAAGUUGAAGGUCUUUAAAGAAGUAAAACUAACCUGUGAUGAAACAUAAAUUAAGCUACAGGCCCAGGACACAGAGGCAGAUUGAGAAGGAGUUUGAGAAGCUUCACCAGUUACUUUGAGAGGACAAGGCAGCCAGACAGCCCUACUCUGAAGAAGGAAGAGAAGAACAGUGAGAUGAUUGAGGAGAUGAGCGGAGGGAUAUCAUCACUUUCAGACACAGAGCCGUAGAGAAGGAGCUGAAAGCAGAAGACGUCUCAUUCCUGCAUAACUAUAAGGCCACAGUGAAAAGGUAAGUGAUCUGCCUCUUGUCUCUCUUCUCUGUGGUUCUUAACAAAGUUAUGCCAACCCCACAGUACAACUGAUGGUGCACACUGCCGAAUCCAGAGAAGGUUUCAGAACCACUGAUCCAUGUGGCCAAGCAUCUUGGCAACCUGCAUAGAUCCUGUGUGAAGAUGCAGGAAAUUGUUAGAGGUUUUUCAAUAUACUUCUGUGACUCUGAACCCCAAGACUGCUCACCCAAGUCUCAUCCUGUCUAAGGAUUUGACCAGUGUGAGAUUCGGUGUGGCUCAAAAGCUUCCUGACAUCACAGAGAGGUUUGAUCGUGCAUUUGUCCUGGAUUGUGAGGGCUUUAACUCAGGGACACACUUCUGGGAUGUUGAGGUUGGGGAAAACGCAUGGGCUCUGGGUGUGAUCACAGAAUCUGCACAGCGUAUACGCAGUGGAUUAUAAUUCUGAAGGUGAAUAGUCAGCAGAAUCCCCACCAAAGCCAACCAUUCCCCUCACAGUGAGACAGACACCCCAGAGGAUCAGAGUGAAGCUGGACUGGGACAGAGGAGAGCUGUCAUUCUCUGAUCCUAAGAAUAAAACACAACUACACACAAUCACACAAACUUUUAAUGAGACAGUCUUUCCUUGCUUUUGUAACUUCUCUAAACGGAAGCCUCUAAAGAUCGUGCCAUGACAAUGGAAAAAUAGUUAGAGCUGAUAGUUUCUUACUAUACAAUGUUGAAUCAACCACCUAGCUACUGCUUGAAAACAAGUUAAGAUAUUAUAGUGACUUGAUCGAUUUGAACGUAACAUUCAAAAACACCUAGUACUCUGCCCUAUACCUUAAAGACAUAGUCAUUGAACACUAGUCACUUUAAUUAUGCUUACCUACUGUUUUACCCACUUCAUAUGUAUAUACUGUAUUCUAGUUAAGGCUCAUCCUAUAUAACUACUGCUGUACACACCUUUUCUAUUCAUAUACUGACUAUACAUACCAUUAUUUUUUAUAUAUAUGUAUUCCGGACUCUGAUAUUGCUUAAUUUUUUGGGGGGCGGGAUUUGUGUUUAUUGCUAGGUAUUACUGCACUGUUGGAGCUAGAAACAUAAGCAUUUCGCUGCACCUGCGAUAACAUCUGCAAAAUAUGUGUAUGCCACCAAUAACAUUUGAUUUAGUCUAAGCUUAGUGGAGUAUAAACCUGUUAUGUAUUUUUCGUAGAUAUGUUUGAUUUGUUAAUCAUUAGCUCUUAUUGUCUUAAGAAUACAGUUAUGUACAUGACUACUGAUCAAUUACAUAUAAAUACAAAGCCAUACUGUAACUGUCAUUCCUUAUUCUAUGAUUAAAGCAAAUACAUGCUAUUGUUUUUUGUUUCUAUCUGUAAGUGUGGAACAGCUUACAUGUAGCACAGUAAAAGCUGAUCAUGUCUUACCAUAAUGUUACACCAAA